GACGAACGCUGGCGGUGUGCUUAACACAUGCAAGUCGAACGGUAAGGCCCUUCGGGGUACACGAGUGGCGAACGGGUGAGUAACACGUGGGUGAUCUGCCCUGCACUUCGGGAUAAGCCUGGGAAACUGGGUCUAAUACCGGAUAGGACCCUGGGAUGCAUGUCCUGGGGUGGAAAGCUUUUGCGGUGUGGGAUGGGCCCGCGGCCUAUCAGCUUGUUGGUGGGGUGAUGGCCUACCAAGGCGACGACGGGUAGCCGGCCUGAGAGGGAGACCGGCCACACUGGGACUGGGAUACGGCCCAGACUCCUACGGGAGGCAGCAGUGGGGAAUAUUGCACAAUGGGCGCAAGCCUGGUGCAGCGACGCCGCGUGAGGGAUGACGGCCUUCGGGUUGUAAACCUCUUUCAGCACCGACGAAGCGCAAGUGACGGUAGGUGCAGAAGAAGGACCGGCCAACUACGUGCCAGCAGCCGCCGCGG
This 478-nucleotide ribosomal RNA is filed under the name uncultured bacterium. RNAcentral describes it as "partial 16S ribosomal RNA". It matches the Rfam family "Bacterial small subunit ribosomal RNA", at positions 28 to 523 of the family's 1533-position model. The record is from RNAcentral.